This 474-nucleotide ribosomal RNA is filed under the name uncultured bacterium. RNAcentral's name for it is "SSU rRNA". It matches the Rfam family "Bacterial small subunit ribosomal RNA", at positions 26 to 518 of the family's 1533-position model. The record is from RNAcentral.
AGGACGAACGCUGGCGGCGUGCUUAACACAUGCAAGUCGAGCGGAAAGGCCCUUCGGGGUACUCGAGCGGCGAACGGGUGAGUAACACGUGAGCAACCUGCCCUUAGCUUCGGGAUAGCUCCGGGAAACCGGAAUUAAUACCGAAUAUGACUUUGGCUGACAUCAGCAGAAGUGGAAAGUUUUUCGGCUAGGGAUGGACUCGCGGCCUAUCAGCUAGUUGGUGAGGUAACGGCCCACCAAGGCGACGACGGGUAGCCGGCCUGAGAGGGCGACCGGCCACACUGGGACUGAGACACGGCCCCAGACUCCUACGGGAGGCAGCAGUGGGGAAUAUUGCGCAAUGGGCGAAAGCCUGACGCAGCGACGCCGCGUGGGGGAUGAAUGCCUUCGGGUUGUAAACCCCUUUCAGCAGGGACGAAGCGAAAGUGACGGUACCUGCAGAGAAGCGCCGGCUAACUACGCGCCAGCAGCCGC